Molecule: long non-coding RNA, 711 nt
Filed under: Homo sapiens (human)
Lineage: Eukaryota; Metazoa; Chordata; Mammalia; Primates; Hominidae
Description: HSALNT0348357
Source: RNAcentral
CAGCAAGGCCAUUUUUAUACUUUCUGCAGAAAGGGUACACUCGCCAGCAGUUUUGCCACAAGAGUACACUGAACAAAAGAGACAGGGUCAUUUAUAACCUGAUGCAUCGACCUUACUGCUGUGUCUGGUUUCUAUUGGCUGGAACAGGACUUCGCAUUCUGUAUUUGUCUUGAUUGGCUAACACCUUAGAACUUUCUAAAAGAGGCAAAGGCAGAGGAGAACAAAGGAAGGAGGAAGUAACUUGUGGAAUGCUGAGAAAGAAAGCAAAGAGUAGAUGUGCUCCACCAAAAUGAAGGAAUAAACUAAGAACUCUGAGGAUGGCAUGGGAUCCAACACAGGAAAGAGAAGCCAUGAAGCAAAUCUACUGCAUGAGAUUGUGCACUUUGACCUCUGCUGAGCAGGUGAGAGCAGGGCUAAGACUCAGCUGCUCCCCAAGCCAAGAUACUCAUGGAACUAAGCCUGGGCACGAUUUCUCAUUGGCCUACAUAGAGAGGAUCCUUUUUGCAACUGGACUUAUCAGAGGACGUACCUUUUAUCUAGUUCACAGAAGAUGCUCUAUAUCCUAGUUGCACUUCUGAUUGUCUGCCUAAAUAAGUCUCUAUUUUAAUAUUUUGAUUAAUUUGCAUUUGGACAAAACUAUAAGACUAUGAGCAGUGCUCUAAUCUGUAAGAUCAUGACCUAUAUUUACAGAUUAAUGACAAAUGUCCAGUG